This 120-nucleotide ribosomal RNA is filed under the name Lepisosteus oculatus (spotted gar). Lineage: Eukaryota; Metazoa; Chordata; Actinopteri; Semionotiformes; Lepisosteidae. The record is from RNAcentral.
ACCAGCAGCCAUAUCAUCCUGCAACUCCCAGCUGGCAGCCCACUGGAGCUCAGCAGGUGUGAGCCUGGUCAGUACCUGGAUGGGAGACCUCCUGGGGAAAACCUAAGGUUGCUGCUGGAG